CCCUUAGAUGUUCUGGGCCGCACGCGCGCUACACUGAUGAAUGCAACGAGCUCUACCCUUGACCGAAAGGCCCGGGUAAACUUGUGAAACUUCAUCGUGAUGGGGAUAGAUUAUUGCAAUUAUUAAUCUUCAACGAGGAAUUCCUAGUAAGCGCGAGUCAUCAGCUCGCGUUGAUUACGUCCCUGCCCUUUGUACACACCGCCCGUCGCUCCUACCGAUUGAAUGGUCCGGUGAAAUCUUCGGAUUGCUGACCAAGAUCCAGCAAUGGAGCUUGGUUGCGAGAAGUCGAUUAAACCUUAUUAUUUAGAGGAAGGAGAAGUCGUAACA
Molecule: ribosomal RNA, 327 nt
Filed under: uncultured eukaryote
Lineage: Eukaryota
Description: partial 18S ribosomal RNA
Rfam family: Eukaryotic small subunit ribosomal RNA
Source: RNAcentral